GCCGUAAAGAGCAACAUCUUUUUAUAGCGUGCAAACGCAUGCCGUAAAAAGUCUAUCAACGACGCACAUUCCCUUUUUUACGACAUUCAUUGUACGCCGUAAAAAAAAUUGAGUAUUUACGACAUGGCUUUAUAUGGCGUUCACAUGUAUGCCGUAAAGAACUUUUUACAGCAUGCAUUGUAUGCCAUAAAAAGCAAAAUCUGUUGUAGUGUUGUGAUAAUUUAAAAGGACUAAUCUAUAAAGCUUGUAAUACUCUGCCUCUCUAUCUUAACUUGUUAGUCCUUUUCUCCUUCUUGGCUUGAUGAUCUCUUGUUCUUAAAUUAUAGUGUUCGUUAUGGUGUUUCAAGAAUUGAUGAAUCUGCUGAUCUAUUAUAUGGUUAUCAAGUAUUGAUGUGAUAUUCUUUGAGGGUUUAUUUUUCUGUACUUAUAAUUAGCUUCAAGAUUGUUGAAAGUUAUGGUACGAAGGGUUCUUGCUGAUUUUAGUCACUAGCUGCGAAUUGUUUGACCCAUUUAGUGUAUUUUUUUUUUUUUUUUUUUUGCUGCAAUAUUAUUAUGGGGUAGGCUGUAAAUUUAAGUUUGGUCAAAUGUAUACUGAGGAAUUGAAAGGGGGGGCAGCAUAUGUGUGGUAAGGCUUUAUAAAUUGUUACAAAAUCAUCUAGAAACUUGAACUAAUUUAUUUAUUUGUUUUGGCGAAGCUGGGGUGAGUGCUGGAGUAGGUUGGAAACAAUUGUAACCUGUUUUCUAAGAUGAAGAUUGCAAGUAUAUAUGCUAAAUUGAUUAGUGAUGGAGUUAAUGAAACUUUAUUUGUUAAUGUUUGCAUAGUCUACAAAAAUUGAUAAAUUCAGUAAUUUUAAUCCAUUUAGGGCAUUUCAUUGGAUAGUGAAUGUUCAUCGACUUGCAUGAUUUGUGGUAACGAUUUCUUUGGUUGUGUUGGUGUUGAGGAGUAUGCACCAAGCUCUAUAAGCCAAGUUUUGUGUUCGUGGUGUUCUUUAAUUUCUGAAUUUGUUUACUUGCUUGUGGUAGUGUGUUUUUGGCCAAGUGAUAGAGAUUUUCGGUUGAUUGAGUUGCUGGAAAUAUAGGAUCAUUUGGUUGAAAAUCAGAUUUGGGACCAAGAAUCCCAACAAUAUCUUCGUUUUCAUUUGAAUUGAGUUUAGUUUUUUAUUUUUAAGUACGAAGUUAUUUAAUGUUUAUGUGUUUUGAUGAAUAUUUAACACUAGCUGCUAGAAGAAAAUGGGCUUUUCUUUUUCUGUUUUUUUGGUAACGCGUGAGUUUGCUUUCUUUUUUUUUCCUGGUAUGUAAAUCAAUUGGGAGUUAGUAUUUCUAUUUUGUGUGCCCAUCUGUCAAAACCAUCCCUUUUUGUAUGUAAAUCAAUUGGGAGUUUUUUUUUUUUUUUUUUUUUUAAUUUCUAUUUUGUGCAUCGUUCUUGUAUAUAGAUUGAGAUGCCCAACUGGCAAAAUCACCCAUAUUUGGAUGAAGUCAAUUGGGAAUUUUGCAUCUUUAUUUAGCUUUCUAUGUUUUCUUUGCUUCAUUUGGUGGAAAGCAAUUGUUUCAAUACAUAUUCAUGGGGAUUUAUACUCCUCUCGUAAGAACAAUUUGUACUCUUUUUUAAGAUUUGAUUCUAUUUCCAUAUACAUAUGUUUCUUUAGUGGUUGUAAAUAGUUUAGAUCUGUACUUUCAUUACUUUUGAUUGAUCUUGAUUCUGUUUAGUUACAUUUUUUUUACUCUUCCAUGAUGUUCUCUAUUUUGUUUUUAUUCAACUUUUUAAGAGCCAUUUACUUGGCAUAACAUGUUUGAUAUCUCUACAGGGUUCAAGUCACUAGAGAGUCAGAGACGAGGAAGUUGAUGGCAUGACACCGGUAGUGGGCGUUUCAGUUAAUGUAAUCCAUCUUUUUAUUAAUUUAAUUGUACUAAAUAGUAGUUUUAACUUAUAGUUGGGAAGUUACAAUUAAUGUACUUGUUAUUUG
This 1964-nucleotide long non-coding RNA is filed under the name Olea europaea subsp. europaea. Lineage: Eukaryota; Viridiplantae; Streptophyta; Magnoliopsida; Lamiales; Oleaceae. The record is from RNAcentral.